CAGUAGCCGCGGUAAUACGAAGGGAGCUAGCGUUGCUCGGAAUGACUGGGCGUAAAGGGCGCGUAGGCGGCGAUCAAAGUCAGGCGUGAAAUUCCUGGGCUCAACCUGGGGGCUGCGCUUGAUACUUGGUUGCUUGAGUGGGGAAGAGGGUCGUGGAAUUCCCAGUGUAGAGGUGAAAUUCGUAGAUAUUGGGAAGAACACCGGUGGCGAAGGCGGCGACCUGGUCCUUGACUGACGCUGAGGCGCGAAAGCGUGGGGAGCAAACAGGAUUAGAUACCCCAGUAGUCCCUGUCUCUUAUAC
Molecule: ribosomal RNA, 301 nt
Filed under: uncultured bacterium
Lineage: Bacteria
Description: partial 16S ribosomal RNA
Rfam family: Bacterial small subunit ribosomal RNA
Source: RNAcentral